Non-coding RNA from Pelobates cultripes (western spadefoot toad), 217 nucleotides. NCBI's taxonomy places the organism in Eukaryota, Metazoa, Chordata, Amphibia, Anura, Pelobatidae. The record is from the annotation of a GenBank genome assembly.
AGGGCAGCACAAAACCAGGAUACACCACUGACUCUCAAGCACAUACAGGUAAACUGUGCAUCAAUGUGACACUUUUUUCUUAGUGAUGCCUCAUGUUUGAGUUUUGCCUAAGGCCUCAUAAAGUCUACAGCCGCCUCUGCUGGUUAACUAGUGUUUACUGAUGAUGUGACAGAAGCAGCCAGAUGAAUUCUGAAAUGUAUAGGGGCUAUCUGCUAAG